GCGGACGUGGCGAAACUGGUAGACGCAAGAGACUUAAAAUCUCUCGGCCUUGGGUCAUGCGGGUUCGAUCCCCGCCGUCCGCACCA
Molecule: transfer RNA, 86 nt
Filed under: Neorhizobium galegae bv. officinalis
Lineage: Bacteria; Pseudomonadati; Pseudomonadota; Alphaproteobacteria; Hyphomicrobiales; Rhizobiaceae
Description: tRNA-Leu
Rfam family: tRNA
About the family: Transfer RNA (tRNA) molecules are approximately 80 nucleotides in length.
Source: RNAcentral